UUAAUAGGUCGGGUGCUUCUCUUCUCAGCUUCCUUCCUCACUCUUACCGCUGGCUGAGCUGAAGCAGUCGCUUCUGACAGCACACACACACACACACACACACACACACACACACACACGAGAUAGAGGCAGGAUUCACUCUGACACCCGUGCAAUCACGAAGGCUCAUGAUGCACGAACAUACAGACUCUUCAAACACGCCUACCCCUGCACCUUUUCUCCUGGAGGCAGUUUGGCCCUAAAAGGUCCUUAUUCAAAUUCCGAGGCCAUGCUCAGCUUUGUGAGGGGGUGGGGGAGGGGACUGGCCCUUUUGAACUUUUGUCACAGUAUUUAAAGGAAGAGAUGCAAGAAUGAGUCUAAAUUCUCGGAGUCUGACCUUGGAAAACCACUUAGCUCUCCGUUUGCGAAGGAUUUCAUGUGUCUGCCGAGUCAGGGAACAUUAAGAAGGUGCCCUCUCAACGGUGAUUCUUUCAGCUAAUCUCAGAAUCUAUCCAAGAAACUGCCUCCCUGUGUUUCAUUCCCACCGGAGGGAAAAGCAGUCCACUUUCUGGCUGAAUUUCUCAAGGAGAAGUUGGAGGAGGAUCUCCCUACGGGAAACAGCAUUUACAGACCCAACAGCCCAAAACAAAAGAGCCACUGGGGCAUUUCAGCAGGUGAUGGUGAUGGCCUCACUGGGUGCCUGGGAAGGGUGCUGACACCACAGUGCCCAGCCGUGUGAGUCAUCCUUUUGCAAGGAAGAGAACACAAGCCUCCUUAGAAUUCCUGGACUUGGAUCCAGUGGGGUUUUUAGCUGUAUGUCACCAGCAGUCAUUGGACUGAACUAUGCUGUGGUCCCUUUUCCAUCAUCAGCUACGAUUACCCGUGGGAUUGUAAAGGAUCCAGUAGACAAAAAUGGAUCCAAGAAACUUCAUCUCCCUAAAAUUUCAAGACAAAAAUUAACUUUACAAGGCUUUCUUUCUAUGCCACAUUAGAACAGUGCCAUCCUAGUUUGUUUGUUUGUUUGUUUGUUUGUUUGUUUUUUAACUCCCACUGCCAUGGUGUGUGGUGUAGGGUCUAGCCCAUGUUUUUCUGUCAAACUGUUAUUUCUCUCAAUUUCUGUUACAGUAUCUUUGAACAAACGAGGGUUUGUCCUGUGUUCUAAUGUUCUUAAAUAGCCAAACCUCUAGAUCUGAUUCCUCACUAUUCUUAGUAGAAUAUCAGAUGCUUUGUUCAGUCUUGCUUCUUAUAAUGGCCAUUAUUUAGAGUUUGAUUUACAUGUUUAUUUAUAUUUUGAGACAGAAUUCGAAGUUGGCCUCAAACAUUUGAUCCUACUACCACACCCUCUCAAGCACUGGGAUUGGAGGUGUAUGGCACCUCCCCUGGCCCUUUCCUUGACAUUUCAGAUGUGUGAGCCAGCGCCCAGUGAGCAAUGCGGUUGAUUCAGUGCACCACGCGAAGGAUGUAAGUGGUCUGAUGGACACCUGUCUGACCUCUCUCAGAUGGGCACUCGCUCAGACUGCUUGAGUAGUGUAUGUAAUAUUGCCUAUUGCAAGUAGCAUUCCUAAUGUAGCUUCUUGCAGGUAGUGUACUUAAUGAUGCUGCUUGCGAAUAGUGUACUUUAUUGUGCUUGUUGCAAGUAGUAUACACAAAGUUUUCCAUCUCCAAUGGUAUUUCAGUGACGUUGAGCUUUAUAAAACACUUUAGUUACUGGUUUUAUUGCAAAUAGGAAAAAUCAAUGACAUGUUUAAAUUUCUACAAGGAGGCAUUUUUUUUCUGCAUUCAGAAUCUCAGAGGCCAUUAGCAAAUGAACUGGUCACAUGGGUCUUCAUUUUAAAGGAGAAAUUCAGACCCCAGAAAUAUGCUCAUAUUCUCAGAACUGAUGACAGAAUUGAAAUAUAAAUUCUGGCCCUUUCAUCUGAGACCGGAUCCCAUUGACUUGAUAUUUCUGAAAUGCACCUUUGUGGUAGGACAAGGGGAGGAGCUGUUCAACCUUGGCAUUCCCACCUGGAGUGAUGUCAAGGAGUCUUCCAUGGAUGCAAGACAACCAGUGCUCUGAGCUGCUGAGCCACAAGGCAGCUGCGCACUGAGGCCCAGAUCUAACAAGGUCUCAGAGAUUGGUUCACAUGUUUGGGUCUGUCUUCAAUAUAAAUAUCACUUGCUGAUAACUGAGGAGCCUAGAAAAAUCAAUAGUUUGAGCAAGUUCAUCAUGCCUGGCAGCAGAAAUAGCACAGGUCAUAGGGCCUGGGGUUGAAGGAAAACUUAGAUAUUUGCUAAUUGUGUGUCUGUCUUUCAGAAACU
Long non-coding RNA from Meriones unguiculatus (Mongolian gerbil), 2277 nucleotides. RefSeq lists it as uncharacterized. The record is from RefSeq and is a predicted model, not a curated record. The transcript is spliced from 2 exons. NCBI's taxonomy places the organism in Eukaryota, Metazoa, Chordata, Mammalia, Rodentia, Muridae.